UACGGAGGGUGCAAGCAUUGAUCGGAAUUACUGGGCGUAAAGGGCGCGUAGGCGGUCAUGAAAGUCAGAUGUGAAAUUCCGGGGCUCAACCCCGGAGCUGCAUUUGAAACUUCAUAACUAGAGUUCAGUUAGGGUAAACGGAAUUCCACGUGUAGCGGUGAAAUGCGUAGAUAUGUGGAAGAACACCGGUGGUGAAGACGGUUUACUGGGCUGAUACUGACGCUGAGGCGCGAAAGCAUGGGGAGCAAACAGG
Molecule: ribosomal RNA, 253 nt
Filed under: uncultured bacterium
Lineage: Bacteria
Description: partial 16S ribosomal RNA
Rfam family: Bacterial small subunit ribosomal RNA
Source: RNAcentral